AGGAAGUAGUCUGGGGUGCGACGAGUCACAUGCGGCUCACCUCUGCGCGGCGCCGGAUCGAACUGCAAGCUGAAAAGCACAGCUAUUAAUGACACUGCCAGAGCUCCCUUUGCAUUCAGCCUGUGUACUCAAGCACGCAGUAUGUGCUGAAUCAUGGAUCCCACCAGUUCAGAAGGUUAGUUGUCAGUACCUCAUGGGGAACUUCCUGCAAGCGAUCAAGUGCUCUGAUGUGAUCCAGUGUAUCUAUCGAUGGAGACAGGCCACCGUGUAGGCAGAAAAUCUGCAACAGUGAGAUAUAAUCAAUGUAAAUGAGAGAAACUUCAUCUAUCAGUACAAUUGUAAUUGAUCAGUACAAAUAAUUAGGAUAAAAAUCACCAAGAGCUUCCUUUAAAGCUGAGAGCUGAUACAAUACAGUAUUAUCAGCUCCUUUUACAACUAGGAACGUUUAACACCACCAAAUACCAACGUACCUGGCCAUCCACCAAGGCAGUUAGAGGCAGGUAAUCAAAAAGGUCUGUGAAGUAUUUCCAAACGUUUGCAUUUCCGUAUUUUCUUAAACAUUCAUCAUAGAAACCAUAUACUUGUGUGAUUUGUCUGCUUUCGUGGUUCCCUCGGAGAAUUGUGAUGCGUUCACGGUAUCGGACCUAAACAUAACACCUUAGUUUAGAAGCAAUAAAACACAUGUCUUCCCCAAAACCCUCACAAAACCAUCUGCCCCCCCUCACCUCCCAUCACGUGUCAAUAAAGCAGUGAAAACCAAACCCUUCUUAAGAUGAAGAGUGAGUUAUAACCUUUGAGAAAGUAGGGAUAAUUCAUUCAAAUCUUCAGCUGCCCAAUACUUUGGAGAUGAAUUCUAGAUGUUAUUCAUUGUUACUAGUGGACUUCACUACAUCUGGGCAUUAAGAUGCUCUCCCCAAGAGAAUUAUUAAGGAUUGCUACUUAAGCAAGUCAAAAGAAAUACAGCAUUAACUGAACCUUUCAGAAGCAUCUUAAAAAACCAAGACAGCCAACAUUUCAGUUUCUAUACAUAAUGCCAAUGUAAUACAAAUCAUAAGAGAUAUUAAGCACAGUCAGGAUAGUAAAUACAUACAUUAUUAUAUAGAAUCAUACAGCAGAGAAGAAAAGGUACCUUAAGAGCUACAAGCAAUGUGACUGUUUCGACUGAAUAAUAGCCUCUGUCAACAUAGUCCCCCAUAAACAAAUAGUUUGUGUCUGGUGAUUUGCCUCCAAUUCUGAAAAGUUCCAUGAGGUCGUGAAAUUGUCCAUG
Pezoporus flaviventris is the source of this 1267-nucleotide long non-coding RNA. RefSeq lists it as uncharacterized. The record is from RefSeq and is a predicted model, not a curated record. Lineage: Eukaryota; Metazoa; Chordata; Aves; Psittaciformes; Psittacidae. The transcript is spliced from 2 exons.